This 502-nucleotide ribosomal RNA is filed under the name uncultured Actinomycetes bacterium. RNAcentral's name for it is "bacterial SSU rRNA". It matches the Rfam family "Bacterial small subunit ribosomal RNA", at positions 380 to 896 of the family's 1533-position model. Lineage: Bacteria; Bacillati; Actinomycetota; Actinomycetes. The record is from RNAcentral.
GACCUGAUGCAGCAACGCCGCGUGCGGGAUGAAGGCCCUAGGGUUGUAAACCGCUUUCAGUAGGGAAGAAAAUGACGGUACCUACAGAAGAAGGUGCGGCCAACUACGUGCCAGCAGCCGCGGUGACACGUAGGCACCAAGCGUUAUCCGGAUUUAUUGGGCGUAAAGAGCUCGUAGGCGGUUUGGUAAGUCGGGUGUGAGAACUCUGGGCUCAACCCAGAGAGGCCACCCGAUACUGCUAUGACUAGAGUACGGUAGGGGAGCGGGGAAUUCAUGGUGUAGCGGUGAAAUGCGCAGAUAUCAUGAGGAACACCAGCGGCGAAGGCGCCGCUCUGGGCCGUAACUGACGCUGAGGAGCGAAAGCAUGGGUAGCAAACAGGAUUAGAUACCCUGGUAGUCCAUGCCGUAAACGUUGGGCACUAGGUGUGGGUCUCAACCAACGAGAUCCGCGCCGUCGCUAACGCAUUAAGUGCCCCGCCUGGGGAGUACGGUCGCAAGACUA